Molecule: long non-coding RNA, 1402 nt
Organism: Lolium rigidum
Lineage: Eukaryota; Viridiplantae; Streptophyta; Magnoliopsida; Poales; Poaceae
Exons: 3
Source: RefSeq, a predicted model, not a curated record
CAGAUCAUUCCAAUGACCUCAAGCAGCAAUAAUUCCAUAUUGUUUCUUUGAUGUUUCACAUUAGUGUUGAAAUUGAAAUGGCAUCCAAAGCCUUCUGUGGGAUCAAGAUUGCCACAGAAAAAGAGCUGCACACAACGCCAAGUACAACAGAUUGGGUUGUAACAAUAAUGCUUCAGGAGCCUUAAUAUUUCUUUAAUUGCUUAGACAUCACUUUACCCUGAAGCGAUUUUCUCAUGUGGUGCAUGAAUAGGCAUCAAAUUUGUGAGAAAAUAUCUCAUGCGUCAUCAUAGCGCACAAUAUAGUUACUGUUAUGUGUUUUCGCUGCAGCCUCCAAUCAGUAUGGAGAUAUUUGUUAUUCUGAAAAGGAGACACCAAUCUCUGCAUUGGCAUAUGUAAUUGAUGGUAGGAUAUUCUGGUAUUGUCCUGUUGAAAAUACCAAUGAGCAUAUAGGAUAUUUUUUGGAGUUUCAAUAAAUUUUUAAACUUCUUUUAGAUAUUAAUAUGAUUUUGGGGAAUUCUACACUGAACUGUUGGAUCAUUGUCGUGCAGGUUCGCACUCUUGUUGGAUCAUAAUUAAAUGGAACUUAGUACCAAAACGUGAUCUGUAUAAUUGGUAAUGUAGUUCUAGCAUUGAUCUUCAUUUAUAUUAUUCAGAGGCCAUGAUGUUAUAUUUGGCGCUAUGUGGAAGCAAAAUUAAAUAGAAAUCAGUAGCAAAACAGGAGGUCUUUAUUGAAAAAGCAAAACAGGAGGUUCAUAAUUGUUAAUGAAACAGUCUUAAUUUACGUUACAAAGUGCCCCGUGUUGUUGUUUUCUGCAUACUAUCUUUGUGUUGUAUAGCAUAACCUAGAUUUUUUAGUUCUCAAUCGGUGGCUAUGGAUUACAAAAAUAUUGUUCAUGUCUAAACAUUGAACUUUGUUAUAGUUUUGUUGCUACCAUGGACUUCUCAUCUUCUAUUCCAUUACUCACCAGAUCUUUAAUUACAUAUGAAUCAUGCACUGGGUCUUGAUCAGCUAUAGCAGCAGUCCUCACUGGAGAGAAGAGUUGACCACAAGGCCAUAAUAGUAGCCCAUUCACUAAAUUCUGGUUCAAGGACAUUCUGAUCAUAUGGAUGUGUGCAUCUUGGUGUAGUUCUUCUUGGCCAUCUUUGUAGCAGAGACAUAUUUUCCGUUGUCGGAAAGUGCAUAGGACAAUGGAUUCAAUUUUGCUCCUUGUGGUGUGGGAAGAGCAGACAUGGUGCUCCCUGAAAUGCCUGCAAGCCAUAAUAUUGACCUUGCUACCGUCGGCGACACGAACACGAGUUCAGGACUUCAAGAGGGGAAUUAGGGAUUGGCCAAGAGCGUGAGUCUUGAGACAUAGACAUCAGGAGAACAACUGCAAGAAAUACCGAGGGUGAGCAGUUUCGA